CCCUUAGAUGUUCUGGGCUGCACGCGCGCUACACUGAAGCUAUCAACACGUUUUCCCUCCCUGAGAAGGGCGGGUAACCUUUUGAAUCAGCUUCGUGGUAGGGAUCGGGGCUUGCAAUUGUUCCCCGUGAACCAGGAAUUCCUAGUAGACGCGAGUCAUAAGCUCGCAUCGAUUAAGUCCCUGCCCUUUGUACACACCGCCAGUCGCUACUACCGAUUGAACGUUUUAGUGAGGCAUUUGGACCGACGCAUCUCAGUUUAACCGCUGGUUUGUGUUGGAAAGACUUCCAAACUUGAGCGUUUAGAGGAAGUAAAAGUCGUAACA
This 324-nucleotide ribosomal RNA is filed under the name uncultured eukaryote. Its description in RNAcentral is "partial 18S ribosomal RNA". It matches the Rfam family "Eukaryotic small subunit ribosomal RNA", at positions 1470 to 1796 of the family's 1831-position model. The record is from RNAcentral.